This 1039-nucleotide long non-coding RNA is filed under the name Anas platyrhynchos platyrhynchos (common mallard). RNAcentral's name for it is "lncRNA (ENSAPLG00000020151.1)". Lineage: Eukaryota; Metazoa; Chordata; Aves; Anseriformes; Anatidae. The record is from RNAcentral.
GGAGUUUUGUGCUUCUUCUGAGGUGGCAGAUGUAGCCAGGCCAGCGGCUGACCCCCGCAUUGGUGUGCUCCAGCCACUGAGCUGGCUGGCCCCAGCUUGUAAACAGCUUUUUUUUUUUUUUCCCUCUGGGCUAAUCUUGUUCUGUGGGGGCAGAUAACAUCGCUGGAAUUUUUCUGUUGUUCUUUGUAAGCGCCUCCUGCUUUGGACUUUGGCUGAGACGCACACAACUGAGACAUGAGCUUCCUCAAUUGUGUUCUCUUGCUUGCUUCCCUCUGGGCCCACAGCACACCCCGUGUUCUGGCUGCUUCCUGCUCUGCUCACUGCUUCCCACUUCCAGCCUAGGGAAGGUGGCAGGGAGGUGACCCUGGCACAACAAGGUGCCUCCCUGGGCUCACUCCUGCUUUGCUCCUGUGUGCUCUUGGGGUCUGCCUGCAGUGGGGACCAUCAGCACUGCACACCCCAGCUUGGAAAUACCAGCGGUGGGGCUGGGGCCAGGCUGCUGGGCCAGAGCAGGGGGCAGCAGGUCUGGCUUCUUCUCACUGAUGCCUGCAGAGCAAGUGUGGGGCUCAGCAAUGUCCUGCUCAGCAUCCCAGGCUCUUUGCCCUACAGCUUUGCCCUUCUCUGCUCUCUACUGCACUUGUGCCGUUGUUUUGGGUUCAGACCUGUUCCAUGGUGGGUGCUGACUGCACCAGCAGAGUCAGCCCCAGUACUGCUGGUGCAGUGCCCGGCCCCCAGCCAUCCAGCUGCCUCUCCCCACCCUGCCAAGAUUCCACUUAUCCCUCUUAACCCCAUGGAGAGCUCCUUUGUGCGGUCUGCUUUGGCAGCCAGAACAGAACCCAGCCACCCAGGUGCAGCCUGGACCUGGCUCACGGCUGCUGGGAGCUGCUGGGAGCUGCUGGGAGCUGCUGGGAGCUGCUGGGAGCUGCUGGGAGCCUGCCAGACCGGUUUACCAGCACAGCCUCCAACGUGGUAUGGGACGUGCCAUGCACGUCACCGGCUCCUGCCCCAGCUGCACGUGUCCCCACUCACCUCCUCCCCG